This 331-nucleotide ribosomal RNA is filed under the name uncultured bacterium. Its description in RNAcentral is "bacterial SSU rRNA". It matches the Rfam family "Bacterial small subunit ribosomal RNA", at positions 568 to 898 of the family's 1533-position model. The record is from RNAcentral.
CGCGUAGGCGGUGAUGUAAGUGAGAUGUGCAAUCCCCGAGCUUAACUUGGGAACUGCAUCUCAGACUGUGUCGCUGGAGUGCUGGAGAGGGUGGUGGAAUUCCACGUGUAGCGGUGAAAUGCGUAGAGAUGUGGAGGAACACCAGUGGCGAAGGCGGCCACCUGGACAGUAACUGACGCUGAGGCGCGAAAGUGUGGGGAGCAAACAGGAUUAGAUACCCUGGUAGUCCACGCUGUAAACGAUGAACACUUGGUGUGGUGGGAGUUGACCCCGCCGUGCCGUAGCUAACGCGAUAAGUGUUCCGCCUGGGGAGUACGGUCGCAAGGCUGAA